Molecule: non-coding RNA, 370 nt
Rfam family: transfer-messenger RNA
About the family: Bacterial tmRNA, also known as 10Sa RNA or SsrA, is named for its dual tRNA and mRNA-like properties. Its role is to liberate the mRNA from a stalled ribosome. To accomplish this part of the tmRNA is used as a reading frame that ends in a translation stop signal.
Source: Rfam
GGGGAUGAUCGGUUUCGACGACGGUUGUCGUUUCAGGGGAAGCGGGUCGAGGAUGCAUGGUCAUCUCGUUAACGCUCCGUGUAAACAAAUAGGUGCCGAUAACACUCGCACCGACUUCGCCCUCGCCGCCUGAGCGAGUUGCCAAGUCCGUCAGCCCGGGGGUGCUUUCGACCCGGAUCCUGGCGUCGUCUAGAGAGCCACUGCUGCCAGUCCACGUUGCCGGGAUUGGCGGGACUUUUAGGUGACUGAGCCCGUCGGCGUCCUUGUUCGCGUGAGACGCCGGGGCCGAGAAAAGCGCUAGCGAACUGCACCCGGAGAAGUCCUGGGCGCGCACCGUCGGACCGGGGUUCGAUUCCCCGCAUCUCCACUA